This 242-nucleotide unclassified non-coding RNA is filed under the name Hevea brasiliensis (rubber tree). Lineage: Eukaryota; Viridiplantae; Streptophyta; Magnoliopsida; Malpighiales; Euphorbiaceae. The record is from RNAcentral.
GGCAGCUCAAGGAAUGCAUGAGAAAUGAUGUUACGAAAUCAUCACUUACUUUCCCCAUUGUGAAGCGGUUGCAUUGCUUUUGAAAGCUCCCGCAAUUGAUCCAUGUUGUGAAGGUAGCUUAGUAAGAGAAAAUGUAUUUAUGUAUCCACCAAAUUGUAGAUCGAUGAAGGAUUGAUGAUCAUGUAUAGUUAGGUUUGUCCGAGAGAUUUCUGCCGCACUCUCUCUCUCUCUCUCUCUCUCUC